GGGUUGUAAACCUCUUUUCACAAGGAAGAUAAUGACGGUACUUGAGGAAUCAGCAUCGGCUAACUCCGUGCCAGCAGCCGCGGUAAUACGGAGGAUGCAAGCGUUAUCCGGAAUGAUUGGGCGUAAAGAGUUCGUAGGUGGUUUUUCAAGUCGUUCGUUAAAGAGUGUAGCUCAACUACAUAAAGGCGGAGGAAACUGGAAGACUAGAGUAGUGUAGGGGUAGAGGGAAUUCCCAGUGUAGCGGUGAAAUGCGUAGAGAUUGGGAAGAACACCGGUGGCGAAAGCGCUCUACUGGACUAAUACUGACACUGAGGAACGAAAGCUAGGGGAGCGAAAGGGAUUAGAUACCCCUGUAGUCCUAGCCGUAAACGAUGGAUACUAGGUGUUGGGAGUAUCGACCCUCUCUGUGCCGAAGCUAAC
RNAcentral lists this ribosomal RNA (420 nucleotides) under uncultured bacterium. RNAcentral's name for it is "bacterial SSU rRNA". It matches the Rfam family "Bacterial small subunit ribosomal RNA", at positions 420 to 856 of the family's 1533-position model. The record is from RNAcentral.